GGAGUGUUUGGGCAUCCUGUACGAGGCAAACCCCAUACAAGCUGCAUCCCCAGAUAACCGCCAGCAUCACCGCCAGGAGGUGCGUGUAAAUGGACAGGUAGCACAAGGCCUAAGGGACACUGGCGCUACCAUCACUUUGGUGCAGAAACAUCUCGUGAAACCGGAGCAUGUAUCUACCCGUACUGUUGCUGUCCGUGUCGCAGGGGGGGCUGUUUUUCGCUUACCCACUGCCCGGGUACACUUGGAUUGGGGAGUCGGGUCGGGAAAGACCACAGUCGGAAUCAUGGACAAUUUACCUGCUGAAGUCGUGUUGGGCAACGACAUUGGCCCUCUGGCUUCAGGUAAUCUACCCACGACUGCUGCUGCUUGUCCCGUGACCACCCGCUCACAGACCCGUAUCGAGGACGAUCCUCCAGCAGAACGGGAGACCCAGGUAAGCCACAAACAGACACUCAGCCCUAACACGGUAGAAAGACCCAUAGCUUGGGACACCCCAGAGGAGUUUGGGAAGGAAACUAGACAGGACCCCAC
Non-coding RNA from Pelobates cultripes (western spadefoot toad), 531 nucleotides. The record is from the annotation of a GenBank genome assembly. NCBI's taxonomy places the organism in Eukaryota, Metazoa, Chordata, Amphibia, Anura, Pelobatidae.